UUUUUAAUGAAGCCACAGGCUGUGAGGGUCCUAAGCCCCUAAUUCAGAAGGGAA
Molecule: unclassified non-coding RNA, 54 nt
Filed under: synthetic construct
Description: RNA (54-MER) from synthetic construct (PDB 5DUN, chain A)
Source: RNAcentral